Molecule: ribosomal RNA, 497 nt
Filed under: uncultured bacterium
Lineage: Bacteria
Description: partial 16S ribosomal RNA
Rfam family: Bacterial small subunit ribosomal RNA
Source: RNAcentral
GAUGAACGCUGGCGGCGUGCCUAAUACAUGCAAGUCGAGCGAACAGAUCAGGAGCUUGCUCCUUUGACGUUAGCGGCGGACGGGUGAGUAACACGUGGGUAACCUACCUAUCAGACUGGGAUAACUUCGGGAAACCGGAGCUAAUACCGGAUAACAUUUGGAACCGCAUGGUUCUAAAGUGAAAGAUGGUUUUGCUAUCACUUAUAGAUGGACCCGCGCCGUAUUAGCUAGUUGGUAAGGUAACGGCUUACCAAGGCAACGAUACGUAGCCGACCUGAGAGGGUGAUCGGCCACACGGGAACGGAGACACGGUCCAGACUCCUACGGGAGGCAGCAGUAGGGAAUCUUCCGCAAUGGGCGAAAGCCUGACGGAGCAACGCCGCGUGAGUGAUGAAGGGUUUCGGCUCGUAAAACUCUGUUAUUAGGGAAGAACAAACGUGUAAGUAACUGUGCACGUCUUGACGGUACCUAAUCAGAAAGCCACGGCUAACUACGUG